AGGUCCUCGUGCAGCUAUCUAUCAUGCUGGUGAAUUGUCUAAGCAAUUUGGUACUACGCAAGUGGCAGUACUCUGGUAUCAUGUCAAUCAUUGUCCACCAUUGCACGGAAUCGCACAGAUGGCUGCUCCUACAGUUGCUCACUGGUCCGAAAAGUACAAUCAUUUGGUAGCUAACUUGCAAGAGAAGGGUUAUAGUGUUGUCAGCUAUAUCCCUUUGAUACCUGUUGAAGAAAUCUCAAAGGCAUAUAAACAGGUUGAAUCUGCUGCAACGAAGAAAGAAGGUGCCACUGACUCGACCUCUAGUAAAUCUGAAUGAGAUUACAAUCUCAGUGGUAUUGUUAAACCCAAUGUUUCUAAUUGUGCUCUUG
RNAcentral lists this long non-coding RNA (368 nucleotides) under Solanum lycopersicum (tomato). Its description in RNAcentral is "long non-coding RNA (SLYC_LNC000161)". Lineage: Eukaryota; Viridiplantae; Streptophyta; Magnoliopsida; Solanales; Solanaceae. The record is from RNAcentral.